This is a long non-coding RNA of Felis catus (domestic cat), 4118 nucleotides long. RefSeq lists it as uncharacterized. NCBI's taxonomy places the organism in Eukaryota, Metazoa, Chordata, Mammalia, Carnivora, Felidae. The record is from RefSeq and is a predicted model, not a curated record. The transcript is spliced from 5 exons.
AGUCAGGGUAUGUGAAAGAUGGACAUUGGAGAGAUUCCUAGACAGGAGAGGGGGUUACUCCAUUUCCUCUAUGAUCUCAUCUGCCUUAGAGAUUCUGUGAUUCCCAGAACAUUCCAGAGCUCUGACCUUCUUAGGCUGGUUAGAUGGUUAGGAGUUGAAGAGUGGACCCCUGUCCACAUGGUUGAAGUCAUUUAGGUAUCAGAGAGAGAAGACCAUCUACAACUGAGAGGCUGCAUUCAGGAAAACUUCAUCUCCCACGAUGUGAAGAAAAAGGGGCCAAAGACUGGUGUUUUGACAUUCCAGCCCAUUAAAAGGAAGAAGAAGGAAAAAGAAUGAAGAGAAAACUCCAAUCUGCCUGCAUGGAGUGUGCUUCCUCUUGUUCAGAUGCCGUGUUUACGUUGAGAUGCCCACAGCUGGGAUGUGGUCCCAGCCUACAGACACAAUCCUGGCUUCUUGCAUCAGCCCCCCCCACGGUCCCCAGCCUCCAGGGACAUUGCUAAGGAAGCCUGCUCCCAAACAAGGACCCGCAGGCGGAUUCAUGGAGCGCAGGACUAGGAUUCAAGUGCAAGUGACUUCUUUGGAGAUGAUCCCGGCGCACACCAGGAGGGGAAUGAGGAAUUGAGACGAGGCAGAAGGACGAUCAAUGAACGAUGUGUCAUCAAGCCAGCGGGCAGUUGGGGAACUCCAGAAGCCACUGCAGAACGAGCACCACGGAGUUAUGCCACCGAGGAAGAGGAAGCAGAUUCGGAAGGUCGGUGGUGAUGCUGCAUCGGGUCACGUGCCCAGGUCAUUCUCCUCACUGCGUCUUGUCACCUAGGGAUUUCAUUGUCUCACAUCAUGGCAAGACACAGAAAGGUGAGUGCAGUGAAAGAGGAUAUUUUGAGAUGGAGAGAGAGACCACAUCCCCAUCACUUUUAUGACGGUAAAUUGUUAGAAUUAUCCUACCUUAUAAUUAGUUAUUGUUGUGAAUCCCUUACUGUGCCUAAUUUGUGAAUCACACUCUGUCAUAGAUAUAUAGGUACAGGAAGAAAACACAGGAUAUUUGCAGUCUGGUACUAUCUUUGGUUUCAGGCAUCCAUUGAGGGGCCUGGAACGUACCCCCCACACGUAAGGGGGGACUCCUGUGCCUACAACGACAAAGAUGUGUGCUGAGCUCGUGCAUCUGUGUUCCGUAGUGCCCGCCUGGACACGAACAUUUAUCAUCCAUUCAGCCCUCUCGGUGGAUGUAAUGCUAAGCACACCGCGAGGUCAGCCCCCUCAGUCUUUACGACAACGCCACGGGUAGGUACCGUUAUCUACACCUCAUACAUGAGGAAGGGAAGGCACUGGGGUGUUGAGCAACUCGCUGAAAUGGUAGCAUCAGGGUAUUCAAACUUACAGCCUGGCACCCGAGACCUUCCCUUGGGGUGCUGUGCUGGACUGCCCCUCACAACUUUCCAGUUCGAAUCUGGAAGCUCUGGAGACCACGGCUCCCCCAACUAUCACCGCCAUUUAUUGACUCCAUCACCUGCGUCCCAUCCUCCAGUUCACGGUCUUACUUUCGUUCCGUUGUGCCGACUUCCUCGCUGGGGCUGAGUGGUAUGCGUUGUUCGCCCCAUCCUAGAGCUCAGGAGAGUGAGGUUCAGAGAAGUGAACUUGCACAGCUGGUGGGUGAAGAGUCAGGGUUCAGACAGAGGCACGUGCACACCAGACCCCCCAAGCCAUGGCUCCAAGAUGCGUUUUUCACCCGGCGCCACCGCAGCAGGGAGCAAGCAAGGAAGGAAGGACAUCCAAGAGAGUAGCACCCCCUGACUUGCCUCAGAGCAGGCAGAGGGGUCAAGGGCCAGGCAAGAAAGGAAGGUCAUUAAGGAAAUCACGGACCCUCCCCCCACCCCCCCCAUCACGGAUGUGACAUAAUGAGGUGAGGUGGUUGCUAUUUCCUAACCAACUUUGAUAAUAUCCAAAGUGCUUUAUAAUCUACUUCCCUUUCACCUGGUACACUGGCCAGACUACCUUGAUGCAGUGGAGCCUGCCAGGCUGUCAGAAGCCACCCCUCCAAUACUUUUUUGAAAACCCUUCCAUCAGCCCCCUGAGACUAACAACACAGCCCCACGGUGUCCCACAAGUUGGACUCUGGGGGUUGCGUGCAUGUGCACGAGGACAACAGCCAUACCCUGCCCAGGGCGCGUGGGGGUGCUGGAACAAGUGGGAGAAGGAGGGCUAGCCCGGGUUCCACCAAAAGACAUGCUGGGCACUCAGGGUGGUGCUUAUGGAGGAGCUUCCUUAUCUCUUACCUUUCCUUCCCUAGCACCUUCUCCCCUUUUCUUCUCCCUUUGUCUCUUGCUUCUUUUAUUUCCUUUCUGGAAAAGGAAGCCCCGUGUGGUAGAACAAGCACUGUCCAGGAAAUCCAGAGACCUGGCUGUAUAGUCAGCAAAAAAUGAAAGAUGCCUUGUUCCAGGGCGGCAGUCCCAGCCCUGGGUUUCUGUCGCCGACCAGCCAAAUAGCCGCCUUCUUCUCUCUAGAUUUCAGCCCCCAAAUUGUAACCACAGGACAGAUGCAUUAGAUCAGGGCUUCAGGCUUUUUGAAAAGAUAAAGUUUAUUUACAACUGUUUACAAUUACAGUAAAACCUUGGUUUGUCAGCAUAGUUCGUUCUGGAGACUUGCUUGAAAUCCAAAGCACUUGCCUAUCAAAGCGAAUUUCAAGAACCGUUGGCUCAGUUAUGAUCCUGUGACGUUCGGUGCCACCUACUACUCGUAUUACAAGACACUGCUAGUUUAUCAAGUUAAAAUUGAUUGGAAAUGUUUGCUCGUCUUGAGGAAUGCUCGCAGAACAAGGCAUGAUAGUUUGGUAAUGGAGAAGACACUAGAAGAGUCAAUUCAAAUACUGUCCAAGAUGGACAACCUCAGAAGUGGCACACAAUGACAGCAGGUGACAAAGGACUUUUCAGAGCUGACUAGGUUGAACUCUACAAUGACCUGGCUUAGCAUCUUUGGCAAGUCACUUUCUCUCUCCAGAUUUUGAUGUUCCCAUCUGUACCAUGAGGGGAUGGCGUUGGGAGCCCUGCAGCAGUUCUAGCUUGGGCAAACUCUGGAUUCUAAGUGGAGUGGACAGACAUCUACCAAAGUGCCCGGUACUUAGGAGGCUUUCAAUAAAUCUUGCUUGAAUGCAUUAAUGAAAACAUGAAUGGAGGAUACCUCCUCUCUCCCCUGGGUACACAAGGUUUGGGGGCCCCAAUCUGUGCUAGCAGGGGAGGCAGGAAGCAGCUGUUUACCUUUGAGGGAGCGGCUGGGUGAUGUGCCUGUGCAAACAGCCAUUUACCCAGGUGUCAAGAGGAGGGACAGAGAGAGAACACACAUUUAUUCCUUUCCUCAUGGUAAUGAUCCAGAAACCCCAACCUGCCUCUCUGCAUUUUUCCAGGCAGUGCUGGAGUGGGGGCCUGUUGUUUUCUGACCAGGCUUGGGGCCAAGCAAGACUCCCUCCCUCGUUAUUCCCACUUGUACUCCAAGUCACUCCCUUCCCAGUAACUGUCCGGGGUAAAUAUCGGCACCCAAAGUUAUCUUAUUAUUGGACGUUGUUUUCUGCUUGCUGUCUGUAUCCUCUCACUGGAAUAGAAACACCUUGAGAGUAGGUCAUUUGUCUUGUUCAUUGCCUUAUCUCCAUAGCUGGAGGGGUGUCUUGGAUGUGGUGGGCCUGCUCAAUAAGUAGAUGUUGACUGACUGAUGGACAGGUGAGCUGUGCCCCAAACCUGGUCUGGUGACAUCACCAGCCUGGAAUUACCACCAUUAACGUCACCUCGUUGGGUACGUCAGCAUCCUUGAGUCAAUCAUGGCAGUCAUUCUCAUAGUGUCUAUCUUACCUCCUACUCGUUCAUACUCAGUGUAUUUCUCUAAGUGAGGUCUCCUCUGUAAUUUAAAUAAAUGUAUCUAAACUCUACAUUGUAUGUCAUGACUAUAAAUGGAAACCAAUAUCACUUCCCAUAAGGAGAAAGUAAUCAUAAAUAUGAGGACAAUGGUCAUAAACCUUAGUGCCAAGGGGAUGGCGAAUGGAACACUAUUUCAACGUGUUUCAUCCUUUGUAAAACUAGGCAUUGUAUUGUAUGCAUUUACCAACCUUAUUUUGAUACAGGGUCCAUAGGCUU